Molecule: ribosomal RNA, 256 nt
Filed under: uncultured bacterium
Lineage: Bacteria
Description: partial 16S ribosomal RNA
Rfam family: Bacterial small subunit ribosomal RNA
Source: RNAcentral
UACGUAGGGGGCAAGCGUUGUCCGGAAUCAUUGGGCGUAAAGAGCGUGUAGGCGGCCCGGUAAGUCCGCUGUGAAAGUCCAGGGCUCAACCCUGGGAUGCCGGUGGAUACUGUCGGGCUCGAGUCCGGAAGAGGAGUGUGGAAUUCCGUGGUGUAGCGGUGAAAUGCGCAGAUAUCGAGGAGGAACACCGGUGGCGAAGGCGGGUCUCUGGGCCGAUACUGACGCUGAGGAGCGAAAGCGUGGGGAGCGAACAGGA